AAUACGUAGGGGGCGAGCGUUGUCCGGAUUUAUUGGGCGUAAAGCGCGCGUAGGCGGCCGGACAAGUCGGUUGUGAAAUCCCGGGGCUCAACCCCGGAACUGCCUCCGAUACUGUCCGGCUAGAGUCCGGUAGGGGAGAGCGGAAUUCCCGGUGUAGCGGUGAAAUGCGCAGAUAUCGGGAGGAACACCGGUGGCGAAGGCGG
This 203-nucleotide ribosomal RNA is filed under the name Acinetobacter baumannii. RNAcentral describes it as "partial 16S ribosomal RNA". It matches the Rfam family "Bacterial small subunit ribosomal RNA", at positions 522 to 724 of the family's 1533-position model. Lineage: Bacteria; Pseudomonadati; Pseudomonadota; Gammaproteobacteria; Moraxellales; Moraxellaceae. The record is from RNAcentral.